RNAcentral lists this long non-coding RNA (1463 nucleotides) under Anser cygnoides (Swan goose). RNAcentral's name for it is "lncRNA (ENSACDG00005012197.1)". The record is from RNAcentral. Lineage: Eukaryota; Metazoa; Chordata; Aves; Anseriformes; Anatidae.
CUGGGGGCGGUGGGGGUGCGGGGGGAGCUGGGGGUGCUGCCGCCACCGCCUCCCCGCAGGGCUCCCGGCCUCCCGCCCCGGGCACGGAGCCCCCGGCCCCUGCUGGGCGAUGGGGACCGGGAGGCAGCCGGGGGUGUGCUGCUGGCCGGGCCCUUCGGCACCCCCGGCCCCCCCCCCGGGCAGUUCUGCCUCUUCCCGAGGGCAACGUGAGGCUCGCCUGCGCCCGGCCGUGCCCGGUGCUGGGUACACCACAACUUGGUGGCUUUGGGUGCUGGCCGGGCCGCAGGGGACUGACCUGUGUGAGCCCUGGCGUACAUCCGCUGAGGGCUGUGAAGCCUUGUGCCUGCAGAGCUGCUCACUGCCCCUCUGCUCUACCUGCGUGUAUGGUCUGGACCCAACAAAGCCCAUCAGUGCCUGCUUGGCUGGAGGUGCGUGUGUCAUCCCACUGAAACCAGAGGAGUGACAGCAGACUAUAUUAGCUGGGGUUCUGCAUUUCCUCGUCCAAAUGCUGUACGAGCCUUAAAUAAGAAGCCUGACAGCGUCUGAUUUCACUCUUUGGCAUGGUGCUUAAUGUAUGUGAGAAUUUACUUUCUGAAAACAUUUUGUGCCUUUUGGACUUGAAAUCUACUGUAAAGACACAUCGUCUUUUGCAUGAUGUAUUGUGCCCAAAAUAGCUCAGCGGUUACUACUUCCUCAUGUGACCACCAUGUAUUUAUUUCCGCUCCCUCAAUUGUAAAUUGCUUUCUGUUUUUCUUCCCUAAUCUCCUGCACUGAUGUCCAUAUUUCUUAAGAUAACAGCGAGGAGAAAAUGUCAGCAGAUUAGAUCACUAAUGUAAUCCAGCGGAUGUAAUGAGGUUAAGGGCUCUCCCCCAAACGCUGGGGCUGCCAAGCUGUAAUGAGGGCAGCAAACAAGGAAAUAAUUGAGUGAGUGGGAAAAGAAAUAGCGAAUCUUGAUCAAGUUGCAAGACAAUAAUUUGUUCACAUUGAACCAUAAUUUUUGAUCUUGGAGGAAGGUCUCGUUGCUGGGAUGGAUUUUAAAACGCAGACUGCGGAAAAUGAUGGAAGUGGAAAAUGUUCUCGGGGGCUGGGAGGCUGUUGCUCACUGCGAGGCGGGGAAUGGCUUCUUGUGGGGACGGGAUUCUUCUGGUCCCUCCUCCUGGCAGGCGAAUGGAGAGUUUCUCAAUACUGUUUACUUGAAGUAGAAUUAAAACCCAACUCAGAGGGUGUUAAUUCUCCCUGUCCCACCAGCAAUGCAGGCUGAACGCAUCCAGCACAGCAGCAGAUACGCUGUGGUCAGCAGAACGUGACAGGGCUGUGGCCAGCUGGGAUUGUCCCCGCUGCCUCCAGCCAGAGCCCAAAGCUCCCCAGAUGGCUGCGGUGGCACCGACGGCCCCGAGACCCCGCCAGCAGCACACACACGCCGUACCUUGGCUGUGGCUUGAAGAAGGCAGGAAAAUUGCCUC